This 253-nucleotide ribosomal RNA is filed under the name uncultured bacterium. RNAcentral describes it as "partial 16S ribosomal RNA". It matches the Rfam family "Bacterial small subunit ribosomal RNA", at positions 524 to 776 of the family's 1533-position model. The record is from RNAcentral.
UACAGAGGGGGCAAGCGUUAUUCGGAAUUAUUGGGCGUAAAGGGCGCGUAGGCGGCCUGGCAAGUGGAAGGUGAAAUCCCUCGGCUUAACCGAGGAACUGCCUCCCAAACUGCUUGGCUUGAGACCGGGAGAGGUGAGUGGAAUUCCCAGUGUAGCGGUGAAAUGCGCAGAUAUCAGGAGGAACACCGGUGGCGAAGGCGGUUCUCUGGGCAUUACCUGACGCUGAGGAGCGAAAGUGUGGGGAGCGAACAGG